CAGUAGCCGCGGGAAUACAGAGGGUGCGAGCGUUAAUCGGAUUUACUGGGCGUAAAGCGUGCGUAGGCGGCUUCUUAAGUCGGAUGUGAAAUCCCUGAGCUUAACUUAGGAAUUGCAUUCGAUACUGGGAAGCUAGAGUAUGGGAGAGGAUGGUAGAAUUCCAGGUGUAGCGGUGAAAUGCGUAGAGAUCUGGAGGAAUACCGAUGGCGAAGGCAGCCAUCUGGCCUAAUACUGACGCUGAGGUACGAAAGCAUGGGGAGCAAACAGGAUUAGAUACCCGAGUAGUCCCUGUCCUUAUACA
This 301-nucleotide ribosomal RNA is filed under the name uncultured bacterium. RNAcentral's name for it is "partial 16S ribosomal RNA". It matches the Rfam family "Bacterial small subunit ribosomal RNA", at positions 509 to 809 of the family's 1533-position model. The record is from RNAcentral.